CCUACGGGUGGCAGCAGUGGGGAAUAUUGGGCAAUGGAGGCAACUCUUACCCAGCAAUGCCGCGUGAAUGAAGAAGGUAUUCGGUUUGUAAAGUUCUUUAAUUGGGGACGAAAAAAAUGACGGUACCCAAGGAAUAAGCGUCGGCUAACUACGUGCCAGCAGCCGCGGUAAUACGUAGGGGGCAAGCGUUGUUCGGAAGGACUGGGCGUAAAGGGUGUGUAGGCGGGGUAGCUAGUGAGAAGUGAAAUACCUAGAGCGUAAACCAGGUGCCGCUUCUAAAACUGCUAUACUUGAGUGGGGGAGAGGAAAGUGGAAUUCGUGGUGUAGCGGUGGAAUGCGUAGAUAUUAGGAAGAACAUCAGUGGCGAAGGCGACUUUCUGGACUGUAACUGACGCUGAGGCACGAAAGUGUGGGGAGCGAACAGGAUUAGAUACCCGAGUAGUC
This 444-nucleotide ribosomal RNA is filed under the name uncultured bacterium. RNAcentral describes it as "partial 16S ribosomal RNA". It matches the Rfam family "Bacterial small subunit ribosomal RNA", at positions 338 to 795 of the family's 1533-position model. The record is from RNAcentral.